RNAcentral lists this long non-coding RNA (480 nucleotides) under Pan troglodytes (chimpanzee). RNAcentral's name for it is "long non-coding RNA NONPTRT015603". The record is from RNAcentral. Lineage: Eukaryota; Metazoa; Chordata; Mammalia; Primates; Hominidae.
AGAGCUGUGGAACAAGUGAGGGCGUGGUCAGGCUGCAUUUGGGGAAGACAAGUGGAGGGGGAAGACAGAAGCUGGGACAGGGCAGGUGGCUGUUGGUGUCGGUGCAGAACUGGGCAGACACCCCAGGUCACUUGUGACCAAGAGUCUUUUCGGAGGUGAGACCCAGGAUGUGGGUGUGAGUGGUCAUUUGUUAAUUGUGCUUUCCUUUCCCAAAGUCAACAGAACAAUGCACAAAGCCCCUUUCAUUCUGGAGAGCCUAUUUAUUUGUUUAGAUAGAGCUUCAGAGAGUUGGCAGCCCUCACGCAGCUGCCCGCUGCCCAUCCCAGGCGCUUAGCCUCCCGGGAUGGGGGUGUCUGCUUGCUAUGCAGCAUCUCCAAAUGCUCCCUAGUUACUAGAGUCAGUGUGCUCUCCCCCUCCGGGGGUUUCCUUAACAGCCCAUGUGCUGACACAUGGUUCUCAGCAUUUUUCUGCCUCCAUGCU